AACAGGUGCCUUUUCCGACAUGGGGGGUCCAGAGCUGAAAGCACAGCACAGAAGGAGAGAGGAAAUAAUCAAUUAUUUUUGGCAAUGAAGCUGUUUGACAUGCUUUACUUGGGAUCCUGGAUAGACCAUUAUUCCAAAAGGCAGUUCUUCUCCUGGCCUAACAUUUCAAAAUUCACUGUGAACUGUUUGUACUAUAGACAUGUGGGUUGUUUUUUUUUUUAAAUAAUCUUGUGAAUAGUCCAUAAUAUAAAAUUGCAACAGUAGCAAGACACACUAAAAUUCCAAACAGCUGCAGCCCAUCAUAUGUGAUGUGUACCUUUCAGUAAAGAACACAGCGAUUGUGUUCCUCAGUAUUAGAACUCAGUUAAUUGAUUCUUUUAACCUGAUGGGUUCUGCAAGUUUUACAGUGCAACCCUCUGUAGGAGUUCAGUGGGCCCUGUUCUGCAGUAAGCGUGCGUUGCAGCCUAAAUAUCAAGUUUGACUGAUGUUUCUGUUUCUGUUUUGCCUUAGUUGCUAUUUUGUCUCUCUGGGUUCUCUAUAAAACUCUGAUGGGGCUGGAGAUUAUAUCGAUUUAUGUUAAUUAACCUGUAAGGGGGGCUUUCUGGAAAAUCUAGAAUUGACAAAACUUUCAGGGGAAGCGUUCUUGUGCAACUUAGGCUUAAUGCAUUGGCACAUUUUCAGUUUGUAUUGGAACGUUUCCUCCGAUGCCCUAGACCAGGGAGUGACCUAAUUUAGCGUGUUUGGUCUCCUUGUAUUUCGUAAGCAUAGCUAAAAGCUUUGAAACUGCCAAGCUUGCCUAAUGCUAAAUGUAUUUUCAGCUGGCAUCUAUUCAUUGCUGCUAAUGAACUUCACAAAACGGGGAGGGGGAAAACUCUGCAGAAAAGUAAAGCCUCGGAAAUUCCUUUGCAGCCAACAUCACCCAUGUUAACCAUUUUUAAACCGAUGGUGACAGCAGAGCAGAGUUCUUUCUCUGACCUCCAUUAGAGACUUCUGAGAGGGAGAGAAACAUCACAAAAUUGGCGAUAGGGUUGCUGGCACUUGUUGGCCAGGCCAAACUCCAGUCGGCCAUUGUGCCCUCUGCCUUACAAAUUCCAUGGAGGCAUUGACGACUAGGAGACGCUGACGGGCCGCUGUCCAUAGCUGUUGGCUGUGUUGGGUCUUUUCAUUUGCAAAGCGUGCCUUGGGAUAGCCAGCUCCAAUCUGCAGCCUUCCAGAUUUUUUGGACUACAACUGCUGGUUUUGUCUGCUGUUCUUAGGCUGUCCAUUUUAAAUUGUUGAUUUUCGGUUUCGAUGUAUUAUGUCAGGGGUCGGCAACCUAAGGCCCAUGGCCACAAGCAGCCCAUGGGGGUCAUUUAACCGGCCUAUGGACCCCUGCCGCCCGUUUGGUCGGCUCCCGUGCGCUGCGCUAAACCGAUACAAAGCAGAGCGGGGACCGCCUUCCACGACACUGGCUGGCUUCCCAUUGGCUGCAGGAAGGUCCUGCAGCCAAUGGAAAGCUGUGCACGCCUCCUCCGCGCCAGAAGGAGCGCCGAAAAUAGCGUUUGUGCAUGCGUGCGUGCACACUCCGGCUCACUGCGGCGUCUGUGGGACCGUGAACCGGCCCAAGCCACAAAAACUUUUCCGACCCCUGUAUUAUCUGUCGACCCUAGGACCCUCAGGGUGAACAGCGGACCACAAAUACUCCUGAAUACUUACCUUCACGUUGGCUGUGGUUGAUGGGGGUUGUAGUUCAAAAUAUCUGAAAGUCCCCAGGCUGGAAUAUCUCCCAGUCCUGCAGUGAACAGCAGCAUGGCUCAGGAAAGUCAGCCUCUUCUGCCCCUGAAUUGCAGGUCUGUCCCUUUGGUUUCCUCUGUACCUCAGUUGUCUUUAACGUGCUGAAAUAGGAUAACAUUUGCCUACCUCAAGAGGAGGGUAAGUAGCGCAAGUAAGACAGUGCAAGUUGAAAUGAGGGAAUGUGGAAGGGUGAAGGUGGGUUAAGGAGGACCCCAGUCCAAAAAGCUCUCCAAUGCAUACCUGAGGAAUUGAAUUUGAACAGUCGCCCCUCUUGUAGAAGGGUGUUGUUGUU
Molecule: long non-coding RNA, 2065 nt
Organism: Podarcis raffonei (Aeolian wall lizard)
Lineage: Eukaryota; Metazoa; Chordata; Lepidosauria; Squamata; Lacertidae
Exons: 2
Source: RefSeq, a predicted model, not a curated record